GCCGGGCACGGUGGCGCACGCCUGUAAUCCCAGCGGCUUGGAGGCUGAGGCAGGAGAAUGGUGAGUUCAAAGCCAGCCUCAG
This 82-nucleotide small RNA is filed under the name Marmota monax (woodchuck). Lineage: Eukaryota; Metazoa; Chordata; Mammalia; Rodentia; Sciuridae. The record is from RNAcentral.